Non-coding RNA from Schizosaccharomyces pombe (fission yeast), 541 nucleotides. NCBI's taxonomy places the organism in Eukaryota, Fungi, Ascomycota, Schizosaccharomycetes, Schizosaccharomycetales, Schizosaccharomycetaceae. The record is from the annotation of a GenBank genome assembly.
UGGAAUUGAAGAGUAAGAAUGGUUCUUUCAUGCAUGUACAUGUUAAAUUUAAUGUUCUUUGAUAUUCAAAGAAACAUUUGGUUUAACAUGUAGUGUCUCAUCAAAUAUGGAUGUGGCAAGAUUUGCUUCAACUAAAAUAUGCAAUAUCGAAAACAUAGUUUUCCUUCUGGAAUUUCGAGACACAGGAUUGUUAUUGUGCUUUUCAAAAAAGUGCCGAGAGAUUGCGAGUAAGUAGUUGAAGUAAAGUCAUCAUACUGAAGAGAAAAACCAUAGAUAUGUUUUAUUAAAACAUCCAAUUAGUCGUCAAAUCAUCAGUUAUUCAGCAUAUGUUGAAAAGUAGGCAUAGAGUCGGGCGAAGCAACGAAAAUUCGUAAGGAUGUGAAAAUAAAUUUUAAUUAUAUUUUCCCAAGAAAUAUGUAAUUUUCUCUUUCUGCUUUCGUCUUUUUUUUUUUAUUUCAGCUAUAUGCUACUAAACAAUUUUUGUAACGAAAAGACUUCGCUUCGGUAACUUUACACUUUAUUGCUAAUGUGCAUUUGCUCA